Molecule: ribosomal RNA, 365 nt
Filed under: uncultured eukaryote
Lineage: Eukaryota
Description: partial 18S ribosomal RNA
Rfam family: Eukaryotic small subunit ribosomal RNA
Source: RNAcentral
CAAUAGCGUAUAUUAACGUUGUUGCAGUUAAAAAGCUCGUAGUUGGAUUUCUGGAGGGAGCGUCGGCCCGUAUUUACGAGUGCGUGACGUCUCUGUCCAUCCUUGCGGGAAGGCACGGCAUUGAUUUGUUGUGUCGGAUCGCAUCAUUUACUGUGAAAAAAUUAGAGUGUUCAAAGCAGGCUUUCGCUUGAAUACAUUAGCAUGGAAUAAUAAGAUAGGACUUUGGUGCCAUUUUGUUGGUUGAGCCUAAAGUAAUGAUUAAUAGGGAUAGUUGGGGGCACCUGUAUUGCGUUGUCAGAGGUGAAAUUCUUGGAUUUACGCAAGACAAACAGCUGCGAAAGCGUCUGCCAAGGAUGUUUUCAUUA